This is a non-coding RNA of Pelobates cultripes (western spadefoot toad), 201 nucleotides long. NCBI's taxonomy places the organism in Eukaryota, Metazoa, Chordata, Amphibia, Anura, Pelobatidae. The record is from the annotation of a GenBank genome assembly.
GGGGAUCAUAUCUUCCAGACAGCCAUUACAUGGGCAGCUGUCUUUCUCUCUAUAGUACUCUCUAUAAUACUACGUAGGGACCUGAACACUAGUGGAAUUAGACAGGGCAGAAAAAGACAUAAGAAUAUGAUAAACACUACUCCUCCUACUAAUGUCUUAAUUCCUCCAAGCUGCUCAUACCAGCUUCCAAACCAACUACUU